This is a long non-coding RNA of Anguilla anguilla (European eel), 493 nucleotides long. RefSeq lists it as uncharacterized. The record is from RefSeq and is a predicted model, not a curated record. The transcript has 3 exons. Lineage: Eukaryota; Metazoa; Chordata; Actinopteri; Anguilliformes; Anguillidae.
AUAAAAUCCGAAAGAUUGCGCCGGAACUUCCGGAUGACCGUGGUUGCUGUCUUUUCCGCACAACUGGUGCAAACUGCAUCUUCGUUGAAUUGCAAGGAGCGCAUGUAAAAGAAAAGCAAAGACCUGUAGGCCCCAUCUACAUCUAGCCCUGCCUUCCCGGAUUAGAAGGCUAGAGGGACUUUCUGUGCUCCCACUGUAAUCACUGCUUUGAAGAUUGUGGUCACGUAGUAAAGAAUGUGCAUUGUAUGAGAGUGAGGAGAAGACCCACAGCCUGACCAUGUUAGGAUCCUGCUGUCUCAUGUCCAAGUCCCACCAUGUCUAGCCCUUUAGCUGGAAAACUCACUGGCUCUUUUCCAGAUGACCGAGAGCCGUCAAGUUCAAACUCAUCUUCUCCUUUGAAAACGGCAUCGGACUGCCAACAGCACGGUGCUCGUGUCCAAAAUCUCAAGUAUGGACCUGUUGUACAGCAGUAACCAAUGUGAUGUUAGUGCUC